AUUGAACGCUGGCGGCAUGCCUUACACAUGCAAGUCGAACGGCAGCGGGCCUUCGGGUGCCGGCGAGUGGCGAACGGGUGAGUAAUGCAUCGGAACGUGCCAUUGAGUGGGGGAUAACGUAGCGAAAGUUACGCUAAUACCGCAUAUUCUGUGAGCAGGAAAGCAGGGGAUCGCAAGACCUUGCGCUCUGGGAGCGGCCGAUGUCGGAUUAGCUAGUUGGUGGGGUAAAGGCCUACCAAGGCGACGAUCCGUAGCGGGUCUGAGAGGAUGAUCCGCCACACUGGGACUGAGACACGGCCCAGACUCCUACGGGAGGCAGCAGUGGGGAAUUUUGGACAAUGGGCGAAAGCCUGAUCCAGCCAUGCCGCGUGAGUGAAGAAGGCCUUC
This 387-nucleotide ribosomal RNA is filed under the name uncultured bacterium. RNAcentral describes it as "bacterial SSU rRNA". It matches the Rfam family "Bacterial small subunit ribosomal RNA", at positions 30 to 419 of the family's 1533-position model. The record is from RNAcentral.